GUCAGAGCAGUACCGGCUGACAGGGCACGGCUUAUCCGUGUCAGUGGUCGGUAAACUCUCCGACUUGAGGGCCAGAGAGGGACAGGGAACUCCGGGUGGAGUGGUGAAAUGCGUAGAUAUCCGGAAGAACACCAAUGGCGAAGGCACUGUCCUGGAUGGUACCUGACGCUCAGGUGCGAAAGCUAGGGGAGCGAACAGGAUUAGAUACCCUGGUAGUCCAUGCCGUAAACGUUGGGCGCUAGGUGUGGGGUCCAUUCCACGGGUUCCGUGCCGCAGCUAACGCAUUAAGCGCCCCGCCUGGGGAGUACGGUCGCAAGAUUAAAACUCAAAGGAAUUGACGGGGGCCCGCACAAGCGGCGGAGCAUGCGGAUUAAUUCGAUGCAACGCGAAGAACCUUACCAAGGCUUGACAUACACCGGAAACAUCCAGAGAUGGGUGCCCCGCAAGGUCGGUGUACAGGUGGUGCAUGGUUGUCGUCAGCUCGUGUCGUGAGAUGUUGGGUUAAGUCCCGCAACGAGCGCAACCCUCGUUCUAUGUUGCCAGCGGAUAAUGCCGGGGACUCAUAGGAGACUGCCGGGGUCAACUCGGAGGAAGGUGGGGAUGACGUCAAAUCAUCAUGCCCCUUAUGUCUUGGGCUUCACGCAUGCUACAAUGGCCGGUACAAAGGGCUGCGAUACCGCAAGGUGGAGCGAAUCCCAAAAAACCGGUCUCAGUUCGGAUUGGGGUCUGCAACUCGACCC
RNAcentral lists this ribosomal RNA (740 nucleotides) under uncultured Termite group 1 bacterium. Its description in RNAcentral is "bacterial SSU rRNA". It matches the Rfam family "Bacterial small subunit ribosomal RNA", at positions 578 to 1318 of the family's 1533-position model. Lineage: Bacteria; Pseudomonadati; Elusimicrobiota. The record is from RNAcentral.